CCCAGGGUGCACACGCGACUGAGGGUAGGGCAGAGGUGCUAGGCUGAUGGGCAGAGUCCUCACCAUUCCAGGGCGUCUCCAUGGCCGGGCCAUCCUAGGGCAAGCUCUAGGGUCAGGGUGCGGAGUCCUGCGUCCCCUGGGCCACAGGGCGCGCGGGAGUGGGGCCCCGCCCCCUUGUACCAAGGAUGGCCAUUCUCAGGUGCCCUGAGGCCCCCAGCCUGGGAGAAGCAUGCCUGGCUUUGAUUCCCCGUCAGGGACCCACCGUGCCCUUGGAAAAGGCCUUCCACUCCCUGGGGUCCUUACCGGCCCAGAGCAGCUGGACUUGCAGGACAGCGGGGGUCCUGGGUGGUGCAGGGGAGGCCGAACCCUGCAUGUGGAGGGGGGUGUCCUUGCUUGCAGCCUCGGGCUCCCGUUUGGAAGUGUAUGGGGUAGACUGGACACCCCCCUUACGAGUGGACUGCGCUCCCCCGGGCCAGUGGAGGGAAAGAGGGGUCAAGGGAGCCUUCCGACACCCCUCUCAUCUCUCCUGGAGUUUACAGCUCCCCUUCAUUGGCCCCCUCAGCCCUGAGAGUCUUACUGCCUUGAGGACACCCACACCCAGGUAGGUAAAGAAGAACGUGAAGGCGCUGAGCUUGUGGCUCUGACCAAGAAUCACUGGCAGACAGUGAUCCAAGGCCCCUACAGACCUGGAUAUGAGGUUGGUGGGAUGUUGUGAUAGAAAACGCUGAUGACCCCAGUAUCCAGUCGCUGUUGAUUUUCCAAGUAACUGAACUUCCUUCUAAGUUUUAGCUAGGAAUGUGGCCACACACACCAACCAUAUUCCUCCAUUCCCUUCCAUCUUCACAACAGAGUUCAGGCAAGUUGAAUGGAGUGAAGGGAAUGUGUGCGUGUGUGGUGUGUGCAUGUGUGUGCGUGCAUGUGUGCGUGUGUGUGCGUGUGCACCUCAGCCACAGAACUCUCUGCUCUGGACUUUCCUUUCCCAUUUGCUAUAGAACAUGGACAUAGCAGUGGCCUGGCUUCAAAUCUGCAAAGUAGAAAAAGCCCCCAGGGCAGAGAAUCUUAGCCUAGGUUUCCAUGAACUAGUUAUGAAAAUAAUAAUUGUUACCUUAUUUGUAUGAACUUCUAAAAAAAUUAUCAUUGCCUUUAACUAGGAAAGAGGAAAAAAGAAACAAUAGCAUUAGUAGUGCCCCUGAUUCACCAACUGAAACGUUAGAUGAUUUCAUAUCAUAUCACAGGAAUGAACGAGACUUCAAAAUAAGUGUACCAUUUAUGCUCAUCACCACUUCAAAGUGAUGCUGGGCACGAAGUUCCUCCUUUAGAUUAGGUUAUUUAAUGUCUUAUUAAAGACGCCUAUGUUACCACAUCACAAUUUUCAAAUAUUUUGUUUUUAUAUUUUGAAAACUAUAUUCACUUUGUUUCCU
RNAcentral lists this long non-coding RNA (1421 nucleotides) under Rhinopithecus bieti (black snub-nosed monkey). RNAcentral describes it as "lncRNA (ENSRBIG00000046183.1)". Lineage: Eukaryota; Metazoa; Chordata; Mammalia; Primates; Cercopithecidae. The record is from RNAcentral.